Non-coding RNA from Pelobates cultripes (western spadefoot toad), 950 nucleotides. The record is from the annotation of a GenBank genome assembly. NCBI's taxonomy places the organism in Eukaryota, Metazoa, Chordata, Amphibia, Anura, Pelobatidae.
CCUUGCAAAAAGGGGCCGAGCAUGGAUGUCAUUAUAAUUAUGCCCCACUCCCUCCCCCCUGGAAAAAUUCCUGUGGACUCCCAUCAUGAUACUUAAUAAAAGAUAUUUAAAUAAAUAAAAAGGAAAGAAAGGCAGGCCUAGGCCAAGAAUUAGACUUGAAUGCAUGAGCAUCUCAUGAGCCUAUUAAUGUCAAACAAAAAUAAAAGUUAUGGUAAAAACUCAUAUAUGAAUCAACAGAUUAACUAUGCACCAAAGAUUACACUUGCACUGCACAAGUAGAGUGGAUAUUAAGAAGCUUUUUUUCAUCUGUCUGAAGGAGGAUAAUGUUGGGAAUUGACCAAAACAUUUAAACAUGUAGGCCACAAUAACCAAGCUGAAAAUAGAUGAGAAAUUCUCCAACCUCAAAUAGGACAUUUGCUAGUCAAUUCCUGUCAUUUCCUUGUAAGUAUCCUGAUGGCGUGCCAUGGUAAGUAGUCACACUGGUUUAGUACAGUUAGUACAAUUUAUCUGGGUCCCCCUAUGUGCCUGUGGCGAAAUGCUGCUUCAGGUUAUACAAACUAAGCAGGGCUAUGCUCAUUGGCUGAGCACACACUGAGACAUUGACUGCGGACCUGCAUCAUUCAGGCUUAGCUAUAUGGAGACAUUCAGUUUAUCCUGCUGGACAAGAAUAGAUGUGCCCUGGGGGAGAAAGAUAAGUUUUAGUGGUUCUGGUGCAUGUAGUGUUCUUUUAAUUGAAUAACACUAAUAAGAAUAAGACUAAAUUCCCCUCAUACAGGACAAUUGCUACUUUAAAACCAUUUUUGGAAAAAUGGCAUCCAAACUAGAUUCUCACAUCUUGCAAAUAUAAAAAAUAAUGGAACCAUGACAUGAAGGAAGAUGAGAGAAAAAAAAGAAUAGUGAAAAUGAGGGGGCAUUCCAAUGGGAAAGUUAACGGUUUCUGCAUCAUUUGA